UACGUAGGGUGCGAGCGUUGUCCGGAAUUACUGGGCGUAAAGAGCUCGUAGGUGGUUUGUCGCGUCUGCUGUGAAAAUCCGGGGCUCAACCCCGGACUUGCAGUGGGUACGGGCAGACUAGAGUGUGGUAGGGGAGACUGGAAUUCCUGGUGUAGCGGUGAAAUGCGCAGAUAUCAGGAGGAACACCGAUGGCGAAGGCAGGUCUCUGGGCCACUACUGACGCUGAGAAGCGAAAGCAUGGGGAGCGAACAGG
This 253-nucleotide ribosomal RNA is filed under the name uncultured bacterium. Its description in RNAcentral is "partial 16S ribosomal RNA". It matches the Rfam family "Bacterial small subunit ribosomal RNA", at positions 524 to 776 of the family's 1533-position model. The record is from RNAcentral.